Molecule: ribosomal RNA, 253 nt
Filed under: uncultured bacterium
Lineage: Bacteria
Description: partial 16S ribosomal RNA
Rfam family: Bacterial small subunit ribosomal RNA
Source: RNAcentral
UACGUAGGGCGCAAGCGUUAUCCGGAAUUAUUGGGCGUAAAGAGCUCGUAGGCGGUUUGUCGCGUCUGCCGUGAAAGUCCGGGGCUCAACUCCGGAUCUGCGGUGGGUACGGGCAGACUAGAGUGAUGUAGGGGAGACUGGAAUUCCUGGUGUAGCGGUGAAAUGCGCAGAUAUCAGGAGGAACACCGAUGGCGAAGGCGGGUCUCUGGGCAGGAACUGACGCUGAGGAGCGAAAGCGUGGGGAGCGAACAGG